RNAcentral lists this transfer RNA (58 nucleotides) under Streptosporangium becharense. RNAcentral describes it as "tRNA-OTHER". The record is from RNAcentral. Lineage: Bacteria; Bacillati; Actinomycetota; Actinomycetes; Streptosporangiales; Streptosporangiaceae.
AGGACGAUUGCUCCGCCUGAAAAGCGGAAGGUCGGCGGUUCGACCCCGCCCCUGACCA